AGUGGAAUUACUGGAUCAUAUGGUAAGAUCACAUUUAACUUUUUAAGAAAUGUCCAAGUUGUUUUUCAAAGUGGCUGUACCAUUUUACAGUCUCUUAUAACAUU
This 104-nucleotide microRNA precursor is filed under the name Marmota monax (woodchuck). The record is from RNAcentral. Lineage: Eukaryota; Metazoa; Chordata; Mammalia; Rodentia; Sciuridae.